RNAcentral lists this ribosomal RNA (663 nucleotides) under uncultured fungus. Its description in RNAcentral is "SSU rRNA". It matches the Rfam family "Eukaryotic small subunit ribosomal RNA", at positions 447 to 1115 of the family's 1831-position model. Lineage: Eukaryota; Fungi. The record is from RNAcentral.
AAUCCCGACACGGGGAGGUAGUGACAAUAAAUAACGAUAUAGGGCUCUUUUGGGUCUUAUAAUUGGAAUGAGUACAAUUUAAAUCUCUUAACGAGGAACAAUUGGAGGGCAAGUCUGGUGCCAGCAGCCGCGGUAAUUCCAGCUCCAAUAGCGUAUAUUAAAGUUGUUGCAGUUAAAAAGCUCGUAGUUGAACUUCAGGCCUGGCUGGGCGGUCCGCCUCACGGUGUGUACUGUUCGGCUGGGUCUUACCUCUUGGUGAGCCGGCAUGCCCUUCACUGGGUGUGUCGGGGAACCAGGACUUUUACCUUGAGAAAAUUAGAGUGUUCAAAGCAGGCCUGCGCCUGAAUACAUUAGCAUGGAAUAAUAAAAUAGGACGUGCGGUUCUAUUUUGUUGGUUUCUAGAGUCGCCGUAAUGAUUAAUAGGGAUAGUUGGGGGCAUUAGUAUUCCGUUGCUAGAGGUGAAAUUCUUGGAUUUACGGAAGACUAACUAUUGCGAAAGCAUUUGCCAAGGAUGUUUUCAUUAAUCAAGAACGAAGGUUAGGGGAUCGAAAACGAUCAGAUACCGUUGUAGUCUUAACAGUAAACUAUGCCGACUAGGGAUCGGGCGAACUCAAUCUGAUGUGUCGCUCGGCACCUUACGAGAAAUCAAAGUCUUUGGGUUCU